RNAcentral lists this ribosomal RNA (110 nucleotides) under Castor canadensis (American beaver). The record is from RNAcentral. Lineage: Eukaryota; Metazoa; Chordata; Mammalia; Rodentia; Castoridae.
GUCUACGGCCAUACACCCUGAACGCGCCCGAUCUCGUCUGAUCUCGGAAGCUAAGCAGGGUCGGGCCUGGUUAGUACUUGGAUGGGAAGAGAGAAGAGGGUUGGCAGGUU